RNAcentral lists this ribosomal RNA (380 nucleotides) under Gymnocanthus detrisus. RNAcentral describes it as "partial 16S ribosomal RNA". It matches the Rfam family "Bacterial large subunit ribosomal RNA", at positions 150 to 839 of the family's 2925-position model. Lineage: Eukaryota; Metazoa; Chordata; Actinopteri; Perciformes; Cottidae. The record is from RNAcentral.
ACGCCCAACAGCUAGCCCACCUAAACAAUUUCAACAAACCCCUGUUAAUACCCCCUAAGUACCCCAGUAUUUAAAUUAAACAAACCAUUUUUCCCCCUUAGUAUAGGCGAUAGAAAAGGGCCCCCGGCGCAAUAGAGAAAGUACCGCAAGGGAACGCUGAAAGAGAAGUGAAAUAACCCAGUAAAGCCUUAAAAAGCAGAGAUUUAAACUCGUACCUUUUGCAUCAUGAUUUAGCGAGUGUACCUCAAGCAAAGAGCACUUUAGUUUGACGUCCCGAAACUACGUGAGCUACUCCAAGACAGCCUAUUAAUAGGGCGCACCCGUCUCUGUGGCAAAAGAGUGGGGAGAGCUUUGAGUAGAGGUGACAAACCUACCGAACC